RNAcentral lists this long non-coding RNA (556 nucleotides) under Oryza brachyantha (malo sina). RNAcentral describes it as "long non-coding RNA (OBRA_LNC001990)". The record is from RNAcentral. Lineage: Eukaryota; Viridiplantae; Streptophyta; Magnoliopsida; Poales; Poaceae.
CAUAUCUAGUUCUACAUACCUGGUCAGGUCAUGCUAGGAUGUUUAUCUUAACUAAUUUAGUUUUUUUUCCUUUUUUAUGUCGUCUCUUUUUAUGACCAGCAAAAUCAUACCAGUCUUAUGUUGUCUUCCUGUGUCCAUGCAAGGCGGAUGCCACCCCUUUCCACCUCGUCAUCAUUGCCAUGCAUCUCCAUGAUUUGACUCUUGAUCAUCCCCGCCACCACUUUGGAGCUACAUCAAUUUGAACUAUGGAUGAUCGAGGGUGUUUGGUGCUUCUUUGGAUCCUUGGUGAAGAAGAUGGCGUCUUGUGACUAUGUGGAAUAGAGGCAUCAAUGUUUGGUGCUUGCGGACAUGAUUCUGGCAUCUCAUUUGCUGAGUGAGAACUCAAUAAAUCCAUGAAUGUAGUGUAUGUGUAUGAUUCCAUGUAUUGUGUGCAAAGGAGAGAAAGGAGAGAGAGAGCAGUAGUGCAGACGUGUGGCGGUGUUGCUUCUUUGUUUCCUGGACGAGCCUAGAGUUUAAUUGUUUUGUUAUGCUUGAUGCCGUCGUCUUGGCCGCUGCU